UCGGCAUACUGCUCAGUAACACGUGGAUAACCUGCCCUAUCGUCUGGAAUAACCUCGGGAAACUGAGAAUAAGGCCGGAUGGUUCACAAUGCCUGGAACGGUUUGUGAAUCAAGGUAGGAUGGGUCUGCGGCGUAUCAGGUUGUAGGGGGUGUAAAGGACCCCCUAGCCUUCGACGCGUACGGGUGUUGGGAGACAUAGCCCGGAGAUGGAUUCUGAGACACGAAUCCAGACCCUACGGGGUGCAGCAGGCGCGAAAACUUCACACUGCAGGAAACUGUGAUGAGGGAACUCCUAGUGCAUGCACUAUGUGUAUGUAGAUCCUACUCUUAACAAGUAGAGGGAAAGGGCUGGGAAAGACCGGUGCCAGCCGCCGCGGUAAUACCGGCAGCUCAAGUGGUCGUCGCUUUUAUUGGGCCUAAAACGUCCGUAGCCUGUUUGGUAAAUCUGUGGGUAAAUCAAUCCGCUCAACGGAUUGAAUUCUGCAGAGACUGCCAGACUAGGGACCGGGAGAGGUGUGGGGUACUCGAGGGGUAGGGGUAAAAUCCUGUCAUCCUUCGAGGACCACCGGUUGCGAAGGCGCCACACUGGAACGGAUCCGACGGUCAGGGACGAAGCCUAGGGGCACGAACCGGAUUAGAUACCCGGGUAGUCCUAGGUGUAAACGCUGUGAACUUGGUGUCGGGGGUCCGCAAGGGGUCCCCGGUGCCGGAGUGAAGAUGUUAAGUUCACUGCCUGGGGAGUACGGUCGCAAGGCUGAAACUUAAAGGAAUUGGCGGGGGAGCACUGCAACGGGAGGAGCGUGCGGUUUAAUU
Molecule: ribosomal RNA, 813 nt
Filed under: uncultured marine euryarchaeote
Lineage: Archaea; Methanobacteriati; Methanobacteriota
Description: bacterial SSU rRNA
Rfam family: Archaeal small subunit ribosomal RNA
Source: RNAcentral